UACGGGGGGGGCAAGCGUUGUUCGGAAUUACUGGGCGUAAAGGGCGCGUAGGCGGCCAUCUAAGUCAGACGUGAAAUCCCCCGGCUCAACCUGGGAACUGCGUCUGAUACUGGGGAGGCUAGAGUUUGGGAGAGGGAUGUAGAAUUCCAGGUGUAGCGGUGAAAUGCGUAGAUAUCUGGAGGAAUACCGGUGGCGAAGGCGGCAUCCUGGACCAAUACUGACGCUGAGGCGCGAAAGCUAGGGGAGCAAACGGG
Molecule: ribosomal RNA, 254 nt
Filed under: uncultured bacterium
Lineage: Bacteria
Description: partial 16S ribosomal RNA
Rfam family: Bacterial small subunit ribosomal RNA
Source: RNAcentral